Molecule: long non-coding RNA, 718 nt
Filed under: Homo sapiens (human)
Lineage: Eukaryota; Metazoa; Chordata; Mammalia; Primates; Hominidae
Description: non-protein coding LINC02541:59
Source: RNAcentral
UUUCAGUCUUUCCCCUAAUUCUUGCUCUAUCAGAGGUCGAGGACAACAGUAUAAUGAUUCAUAGGUUCUACUUCCUGGCAAGUAAUCAUUUUCCCACGGGCCCUUGUGAAUUGAUGAAUAUGAAGACACUAAGAAAGCAGAAAUAGAACUGAGAAGAAUGAAAUAACUGUCUCUACCUUUCUCGAAUUGUCUAAUAUGGAAAGAAUGAAAGACAGCUAAUAAGCAACUCUCUGCAAGAAGACAUAUGGCUUAGGUUCUGCUGAGCUAUUGAAUCUACUUGGAGAGAGUCAAACACAGAAUCCCUUUGAAUUUAAUGGCCAUUCCAGGUGAUUUGAACAGCCAAAUAAGAAACAGGUCCUCUUCAAUGUACAAUCUGCCAAGUAUGAAGUCUGAAUGACCAUCAUUAUUAUGUAUUUAAUGUGCAUAGAAAAUCUAUCUGCAACCUUCCAGAGUGUACCAGAAGUUUGGAAUGUACAUUAUUAUUGGCUCCAUCUCAAACCACUCAUAAAUCAAAGAAAAUAGCAGUUCCAGAGGAAUCAUCAUAGAGGCUUCUAGGCCCCCAUGCUGUGUGAACCUGGUGAGAAAGGGAAGUCUGCUCUCACUGGACACUGGAACUGUUUGUCUCUGUCUCUGCUGUACUUUCCCUGCCUCUACCUCACUUAGUAAAGAAAUCAUCUUUGCUUGAUAACUAAAACAACCAAUAAGGCUGAGAAAGGGG